Molecule: non-coding RNA, 299 nt
Organism: Culex pipiens (northern house mosquito)
Lineage: Eukaryota; Metazoa; Arthropoda; Insecta; Diptera; Culicidae
Rfam family: Metazoan signal recognition particle RNA
About the family: The signal recognition particle (SRP) is a universally conserved ribonucleoprotein. It is involved in the co-translational targeting of proteins to membranes.
Source: Rfam
ACUGGGAGCGUGGCGCCUCCUGUAACGUGAGCUACUCACGAGUCGGAUUACGGACUGGCUUGAGGUUGGGGUCCACUGUGUGCCGGUCAGGUCCAUGUUGACGGGACGUCCGCACUAAGCUGACCGUCAAUAUGGGUGCAAUGGGGGAGCCCGAUGCAUUCAGGUUGGCUAAAGAGAGAUGAACCGAGCGAGGGGUGAAAACCAGCAGCUAAAAGUCUCCGCGGUAAGCAGUAGUGGGAUCGCGUCCCGGAGUGGACCUCCGGUGCCAGCCCGGCCGAUAUAGUCACACCGUGAUCUUU